AACAAACAAACAAACAAACAAACAAACAAACAAACAAACAAAAAACUCAAACAGGUACAAGUGAUCUUUAAACAAACAAACAAACAAACAAACAAAAAAACAAACAAACACUCAAACAGGUACAGGUGAUCUUUAAACAAACAAACAAUCAAACAAACAAAAAACUCAAACAGGUACUGGUGAUCUUUAAACAAGCAAACAAACAAACAAACAAACAAACAAAAAAACAAACAAACACUCAAACAGGUACAGGUGAUCUUUAAACAAACAAACAAACAACAAAAACUCAAACAGGUACAGGUGAUCUUUAAACAAACAAACAAACAACAAAAACUCAAACAGGUACAGGUGAUCUUUAAACAAACAAACAAACAACAAAAACUCAAACAGGUACAGGUGAUCUUUAAACAAACAAACAAACAAACAAACAAACAAACAAACAAACAAAAAACUCAAACAGGUACAGGUGAUCUUUAAACAAACAAACAAACAAACAAACAAACAAACAAACAAAAAACUCAAACAGGUACAGGUGAUAUUUAUACAAACUGGAAAACAAAUUGGUAUGUGUGAGUGAUGUAAAUACCUCAAAUUAAAAAAUGCAUGGGUGUUUACUUUUCUACUCUAACAGCAGGUGUUUGUGUUUUCAUGCAG
This is a long non-coding RNA of Ictalurus punctatus (channel catfish), 654 nucleotides long. The record is from Ensembl. NCBI's taxonomy places the organism in Eukaryota, Metazoa, Chordata, Actinopteri, Siluriformes, Ictaluridae.